Bactrocera dorsalis (oriental fruit fly) is the source of this 727-nucleotide RNA transcript. RefSeq lists it as uncharacterized. NCBI's taxonomy places the organism in Eukaryota, Metazoa, Arthropoda, Insecta, Diptera, Tephritidae. The record is from RefSeq and is a predicted model, not a curated record. The transcript is spliced from 4 exons.
AGCAAGGGAAUACCUCUAAUUUAUAACGAUUAUACAAAACUAACUAUCUUUUAAUUAAAUGAAAUCUUCGUGGGAAUUCUACCAACAACAUCGUUGGAGUUCCAGAACCAAACCCAAAAGUUCAAAGAGUGCACCCAACAAACAAAAAGCCUGUAAGCUAAGCCAACAAAUACCCCAACACGUAAUUAAAAACAAUAACAAACCGGAAAAAAAUUUAGCUGCUGUCACUUGUUAUUAAUUUGAAAAAUGGAAAAACAAAAAUAUAAAAAAAGAAGUUGUUGGAGUGAUAGGGCAGAAGCCCUACUAAUUGAGUUGUGGCAGAGCAAAGUAAGUGCUUUUCGCGGUUCAAAGAAGAACAGCCACAUAGUAGAGGAAAUGGCAAUGGAGUUGCAGCAACAAGGUGUGCAUUUCACGGCGAGUGAAAUAAAGUCGAAAAUGCACAAUCUUUCGCAGAGAUAUAGGAAAGAGAAGACAGCAGUCGGAUCAACUGGCGGUUCUCCCUCGCAGUGGCCGCUGUACGAUAAAAUGAGAUCCGUACUGUUGCCGUACGUCAGCUACAACGCAGAGAGCUUAGAAAAGUUUUCAAAGUUCUACUAACUCGGAACCACUCCAAAUUUCGGUGGAAACGGCUGCGUGUUCGACAUUUGUUGCUGCAUCUCCAUUGUCCUCACCAGUUUGCCUGCCAUCACCCUCAGCGAUGCCGAUGUCGUCAAGCGAUACUUCUUCG